AUUGAACGCUGGCGGCAGGCCUAACACAUGCAAGUCGAACGGUAACAGGAAACAGCUUGCUGUUUCGCUGACGAGUGGCGGACGGGUGAGUAAUGUCUGGGAAACUGCCUGAUGGAGGGGGAUAACUACUGGAAACGGUAGCUAAUACCGCAUAACGUCGCAAGACCAAAGAGGGGGACCUUCGGGCCUCUUGCCAUCGGAUGUGCCCAGAUGGGAUUAGCUAGUAGGUGGGGUAACGGCUCACCUAGGCGACGAUCCCUAGCUGGUCUGAGAGGAUGACCAGCCACACUGGAACUGAGACACGGUCCAGACUCCUACGGGAGGCAGCAGUGGGGAAUAUUGCACAAUGGGCGCAAGCCUGAUGCAGCCAUGCCGCGUGUAUGAAGAAGGCCUUCGGGUUGUAAAGUACUUUCAGCGGGGAGGAAGAGAGUAAAGUUAAUACCUUUACUCAUUGACGUUACCCGCAGAAGAAGCACCGGCUAACUCCGUG
This 490-nucleotide ribosomal RNA is filed under the name uncultured bacterium. Its description in RNAcentral is "partial 16S ribosomal RNA". It matches the Rfam family "Bacterial small subunit ribosomal RNA", at positions 30 to 507 of the family's 1533-position model. The record is from RNAcentral.